This 347-nucleotide ribosomal RNA is filed under the name uncultured bacterium. RNAcentral describes it as "bacterial SSU rRNA". It matches the Rfam family "Bacterial small subunit ribosomal RNA", at positions 917 to 1267 of the family's 1533-position model. The record is from RNAcentral.
GGGCCCGCACAAGCGGUGGAGCAUGUGGUUUAAUUCGAUGAUACGCGAGGAACCUUACCAGGGCUUAAAUGUAAGUUGCAUAGACCAGAGAUGGUCUUUUCUUCGGACUACUUACAAGGUGCUGCAUGGUUGUCGUCAGCUCGUGCCGUGAGGUGUCAGGUUAAGUCCUAUAACGAGCGCAACCCCUGUCGUUAGUUGCCAUCAAGUAAAGUUGGGUACUCUAGCGAGACUGCCGGUGCAAACCGUGAGGAAGGUGGGGAUGACGUCAAAUCAUCACGGCCCUUACGUCCUGGCUACACACGUGCUACAAUGGCCGGUACAGAGAGCAGCCACUACGCGAGUAGGAG